AGGCGCGCAAAUUACCCACUCCCGGCACGGGGAGGUAGUGACGAAAAAUAACAAUACGGGACUCUUUUGAGACCCCGUAAUUGGAAUGAGUACACUCUAAAUCCUUUAACGAGGAUCUAUUGGAGGGCAAGUCUGGUGCCAGCAGCCGCGGUAAUUCCAGCUCCAAUAGCGUAUAUUAAAGUUGUUGCGGUUAAAAAGCUCGUAGUUGGAUCUCAGUUCCAGACGGGCGGUCCGCCUAACGGUGGUUACUGCCUGGCCUGAACAGCCAGCCGGUUUCCCUAGAUGAUCUUCACCGGUUGUCUUGGGUGACCGGCACGUUUACUUUGAAAAAAUUAGAGUGCUCAAAGCAGGCGUGUAGCCUGAAUAAUGGUGCAUGGAAUAAUGGAAUAGGACUUCGUUUCUAUUUUGUUGGUUUUCGGAACACGAGGUAAUGAUUAAGAGGGACAGACGGGGGCAUUCGUAUUGCGACGCUAGAGGUGAAAUUCUUGGACCGUCGCAAGACGAACUACUGCGAA
RNAcentral lists this ribosomal RNA (515 nucleotides) under Macrothele bannaensis. RNAcentral describes it as "SSU rRNA". It matches the Rfam family "Eukaryotic small subunit ribosomal RNA", at positions 430 to 949 of the family's 1831-position model. The record is from RNAcentral. Lineage: Eukaryota; Metazoa; Arthropoda; Arachnida; Araneae; Macrothelidae.